GACGAACGCUGGCGGCGUGCCUAAUACAUGCAAGUUGAGCGCUGAAGGUUGGUACUUGUACCCACUGGAUGAGCAGCGAACGGGUGAGUAACGCGUGGGGAAUCUGCCUUUGAGCGGGGGACAACAUUUGGAAACGAAUGCUAAUACCGCAUAAAAACUUUAAACACAAGUUUUAAGUUUGAAAGAUGCAAUUGCAUCACUCAAAGAUGAUCCCGCGUUGUAUUAGCUAGUUGGUGAGGUAAAGGCUCACCAAGGCGAUGAUACAUAGCCGACCUGAGAGGGUGAUCGGCCACAAUGGGACUGAGACACGGCCCAAACUCCUACGGGAGGCAGCAGUAGGGAAUCGUCGGCAAUGGACGAAAGUCUGACCGAGCAACGCCGCGGGAGGGAAGAAGGUUUUCGGAUCGUAAAACUCUGUUGGUAGAGAAGAAAGUUGGUGAGAGUGGAAAGCUCAUCAAGUGACGGUAACUACCCAGAAAGGGACGGCUAACUGCGUG
Molecule: ribosomal RNA, 497 nt
Filed under: uncultured bacterium
Lineage: Bacteria
Description: partial 16S ribosomal RNA
Rfam family: Bacterial small subunit ribosomal RNA
Source: RNAcentral